This 477-nucleotide ribosomal RNA is filed under the name uncultured bacterium. RNAcentral describes it as "partial 16S ribosomal RNA". It matches the Rfam family "Bacterial small subunit ribosomal RNA", at positions 30 to 507 of the family's 1533-position model. The record is from RNAcentral.
AUGAACGCUGGCGGCGUGCCUAACACAUGCAAGUCGAACGGAGUCCAGCCUUUAAGACCUUCGGGUCAAAGAGGGGAAGACUGAGUGGCGGACGGGUGAGUAACACGUGGGCAACCUGGCUCAUAGAGGGGGAUAACAGAGAGAAAUUUCUGCUAAUACCGCAUAAGCACACACUGCCGCAUGGCAGAGGGUGAAAAGAGAAUCGCUAUGAGAUGGACCCGCGUCUGAUUAGCCAGUUGGCAGGGUAAGAGCCUACCAAAGCGACGAUCAGUAGCCGAUCUGAGAGGAUGAACGGCCACAUUGGGACUGAGGCACGGCCCAAACUCCUACGGGAGGCAGCAGUGGGGGAUAUUGCACAAUGGGGGGAACCCUGAUGCAGCGACGCCGCGUGAGUGAAGAAGUAUUUCGGUAUGUAAAGCUCUAUCAGCAGGGAAGAUAAUGACAGUACCUGAAUAAGAAGCCCCGGCUAACUACGUG